RNAcentral lists this transfer RNA (84 nucleotides) under Gemmatimonadota bacterium. RNAcentral's name for it is "tRNA-Leu". It matches the Rfam family "tRNA". From Rfam's summary of the family: Transfer RNA (tRNA) molecules are approximately 80 nucleotides in length. Their secondary structure includes four short double-helical elements and three loops (D, anti-codon, and T loops). The record is from RNAcentral. Lineage: Bacteria; Pseudomonadati; Gemmatimonadota.
GCUCGGGUGGCGUAACCGGUAGCCGCGGGGGUCUCAAAAACCCCUGGCCUUACGGCCGUGCGGGUUCGAGUCCCGCCCCGAGCA